UACGAAGGGGGCUAGCGUUGCUCGGAAUUACUGGGCGUAAAGGGCGCGUAGGCGGAUAUCUAAGUUGGGGGUGAAAUCCCGGGGCUCAACCUCGGAAUUGCCUUCAAAACUGGAUAUCUUGAGUUCGGGAGAGGUGAGUGGAACUCCGAGUGUAGAGGUGAAAUUCGUAGAUAUUUGGAAGAACACCAGUGGCGAAGGCGACUCACUGGCCCGAUACUGACGCUGAGGCGCGAAAGCGUGGGGAGCAAACAGG
Molecule: ribosomal RNA, 253 nt
Filed under: uncultured bacterium
Lineage: Bacteria
Description: partial 16S ribosomal RNA
Rfam family: Bacterial small subunit ribosomal RNA
Source: RNAcentral